This 312-nucleotide long non-coding RNA is filed under the name Elaeis guineensis (African oil palm). RNAcentral's name for it is "long non-coding RNA (EGUI_LNC003099)". Lineage: Eukaryota; Viridiplantae; Streptophyta; Magnoliopsida; Arecales; Arecaceae. The record is from RNAcentral.
GACCUGAAGUCAGCCCAGUCCGAUGGGCGUCGAGCCAGCCCGAGCCCACUUCUAGCCUUACUUGUAAGAUGAUGGACUCCUUGUCAUGUUAUUUUCCAUGCUUGGUUUUGUUGUGAGCUUUCACUCUGACGUCGGCCAAUCUACUCCUCAAUUUUGAUCAAAGUAUAUAAGGUUUGGCUAUGGUCGAACCUUAUAAUCUAAGGAGCAUCGAUCCUAAUUUAGUAGAUCGAUCUAAUUCAAUAAAUUAGCUAGAUCCAAUUAGAUAAAUUAGCAACUACAAAUGGACAUCUAUCUCACAAUCAUAAGAAGGCC